Molecule: long non-coding RNA, 1779 nt
Organism: Homo sapiens (human)
Lineage: Eukaryota; Metazoa; Chordata; Mammalia; Primates; Hominidae
Exons: 3
Source: RefSeq, a predicted model, not a curated record
CCUGCGGUCAGGCACCCGCGCGGGAGGCGCCGCGGCGACACAAAGAGCCCUUUGUAGAGCUUCCCGGCCCGGGCCCUGGCGUCUGCGGCCCAGCACGCACACAGCCGGGAGGGACGCACACAGCCGGGAGGGGCACACACAGCCGGGAGGGACGCACACAGCCCGGAGGGGGCUCGCACAGCCAGGAGGUGACCUCACAGACCUGGCACUUGGGCUCAGCGGUGGAGAGGGGGCACUGGCUGGGCCACCUGUCCUGUGGAUUUGGGCGGGGCCCACAGUCUGCGCCGGGAGCUCAACGAUUCCAGGGCCCCUGCAGCCCUACCCGCCCGGCCCCCUCUGCCUCCCAGAGAUGAAAGGGGAAAGCCACUGUGGGAGCUUGGUCUAAGGUGGCGUGAAGAGGGCAGCUACUGGAGCUGGCCUGCAGUAGAGACGGGGUUUCACCAUGUUGACCAGGCUGGUCUCGAACUCCUGACCUCGUGAUCCGUCCGCCUCGGCCUCCCAAAGUGCUGGGAUUACAGAGCCACCGCGCCCAGCCUCAGUCCCACUUUUUAACCGAGGUCUACAAAGAUGUGACACAGGGCUGCCAUUUGCUGGGGCUGAUGCUGAGCCGGGCACUUCAUGAUGGUGCGGGGAGCAGGCACCAUGCCUGGUGAUCCAGAGGGGGUCCCGUCAACACAGAUGAGGGAGACAGAAGACCCAGCUACGUAUCUAUCUUCAGAAACAUGCUGGCUCGUGGCUGCCAGCCUCCACACCCCAGCGCCAGCGUCACCCCCACACACACUCACAUACUGCUGCAUCAGAACAGGCUGUUGAAUAUUUCAUGACCGACGCUCAGCGGCCUAAAUUAUUCACCCCGUAACCAAGGCACAGUGAGUGCCGGGGUCUUGGGGAUCAGGGGCUGGUGGGGGCCCACUGGGUUCUUUCUGCAGAGGCCCACGGCGGUGUACACAGCGGGUGGGGGGCCAGACCUGCAGUGAGCUCUGCUCUCUCAGCACUCCCUACUUGGCAGAGAUCCAUGACCCAGGGGUGCCCAGCCAGCCAGAGAAGGUCUGAGAAGCUGGCAUCAAGCAGGAUCUGAGCAGCAGGGGGAAGUGGUACCCACGGCCUCCUGCAGGGCCGCUGGCUGGCACUCCCAGCCCAAGUUCCUGGCACGGAAUGAGCCCUCAGUAAGUGCUGGAGCUCAUCACCAUUCUCAUUAGUAUUCCACCAUCUGCACUCAUGCGCCCCAUUAUGGAGUCAGAGCCUCCAGCUUGGAAUACCCCAGAACAUGAGGCAGAUAUGCUGUUGGGCUGGGUGGGAAGGGGUCCUGGCUCAACAUCCCCUUCCACCUUGGCCUGAGGACAAGAAGAACAAUGGGCACUCUCACAGUCACUGGGGAGUAUUACAAAGAUAUGGAUGAGCAUAAGGACCAAAAUGAAAUUCCCAUCACACACCUGGAAUCCAAGCACCUCGGGAGGCCAAAGCAGGAGGACUGCCUGAGCCUAGGAGUUCGAGACCAGCCUGGGCAACAUAGAGAGACCUCCGUCUCUACAAACAAUACAAAAAUGAGCCAGGUGUGUUGGUGCACACCUGUAGUCCCAGCCACUCAGGAGGCUGAGGAGGGAGGAUCACUUGAGUCCAAGAAGUUGAGGCUGCAGGGAACUAUGAUCAUACCGCUGCACUCCAGCCUGGGUGUCAGAGCAAGAGCCUAUCUCUAAAAUAAAUAAAUAAAUGAGAAAAUAAACAAAAUUCCCAUCACUAGAGAGAGGAAUUAAUAAAAGUAAUAAUAGUAAAUAAUAA